Molecule: ribosomal RNA, 267 nt
Filed under: uncultured bacterium
Lineage: Bacteria
Description: partial 16S ribosomal RNA
Rfam family: Bacterial small subunit ribosomal RNA
Source: RNAcentral
ACGAACGCUGGCGGCGUGCCUAACACAUGCAAGUCGAACGGAGAUGUUUUGAAGGCUUGCUGAUAAGCAUCUUAGUGGCGCACGGGUGAGUAACACGUGGGCAACCUGCCCGGAAGUCUGGGAUAACAGUGCGAAAGUACUGCUAAUACCGGAUACCUUCACGAAGCUGCCUAGCUUUGUGAAGAAAGAUUAAUUGCUUCCGGAUGGGCCCGCGUCCCAUUAGCUAGUUGGUGAGGUAACGGCUCACAAGGCGACGAUGGGUAGCUG